RNAcentral lists this non-coding RNA (21 nucleotides) under Mus musculus (house mouse). The record is from RNAcentral. Lineage: Eukaryota; Metazoa; Chordata; Mammalia; Rodentia; Muridae.
CAUUUGCCAGAGGCUUUUUCU